AGUAAGGACCUCAGCCGAAGCGCGGGGCAUGCUUUUGGUUUAGGUAGAAAAACUGCUCCGAGUUUGAUUCCAAAAACUCUAUCAGACUCCCUUCUUUCACCUCUCUAGUCCAUGAAGGAUCGGAGACACGACAGGAGGUGACCACUGCAGCACCCGCCCAAAGCUGACUGAGACAGCAGGAAGUCUCCAACCCAUUCUCGCCCGUCCACUCCCAGCGUAAAGAGGAUUCCGCGACUCGGAGACCGCAAUCUACCCGCCAGUCUCUAUAAUGUAGGCCAGAGCAGCUGGGCUGAAUAAAACAGAGCCGGGGCUCUCCCUUCCCAAAGGCCUACAUCGCCCACCGGUCCGGGCUCGGAGCUCAGCAGAACCAGAGAAGGAGCGGUUGUUGCCGGCACGGAGGAGGGAGAGCUCUUGUGACGCUACGAACCUCUCGAACACCUGACGACUGGGCGCCAGGGCCGGAUGGAGGGUGGAGAGCCACUGCGGCGCAGCUGCCUCCUCUUAACGGGGACACCUAGCAGGAAUGUGCGGAGUGGAGCUAAGGGGAGCGGAUAGAAACCGAGGGAGGGGAAGAGAGCGCGAAGGCUUGGCCGGAAGGAGAGGUUAAAAAGGAAAGGCCUAAAAUGAGGAAGAGAGUUACCACAACAAGCAGUACCUAGUUCCAGUUCUUGGUCCCAGGAGUUUGUGGUUGUUGCUGCUUUCAUCUUCCUCAGCCAACACAAAAGGAAAGUGCCAAGGGGCGAUUCCUAGGACCUUCAGUGCAGUCUCCACCUUGCGGACUUGGCUUAUUUGUGUGCACUCCUUUCUCCAGCCUUUUACACUUGAUGCUCUUGGAUGAAUAGAAAGGAGCACAAUUAAUGGAAAACACAAGCUUGGGAGUCAAGGGAUUUGGGUUCUAUUCUUGUCCUCCCUUGGUGACGACAUCAUUACCUUGGGUUAUUCAAGCUUUCAGUGCCAGAGUUCCUAUAUUAAUAAAAGAUUAUUACAUUGACCUCUAAGAGAAAUGUUUUCAUGGUACUGAAUUGCAAAUAAAGUAUGUGUAGCAAUGUGUCAUAUCUUUGUAGUUGUACGGUAUUAGCUGUGAAUCAUACUGUGAUGAUCAGUGCGAUUUAAGUGCACCAUGUUAUUUGGUGAUUAUUUUUCUGAGAUCUUGUAAAAGAUUUUUCCGCUAUAUAUAUGCAGCUUUAUAAACAAGUUUUUAGGUACAUUCACAACUAAGGACAUUUGUGAAUCAAAAUUAUCCCUGCUUUUUUUAAAUGUAAAGUUCUGUAUUUUUAGGUGGUUUUCAAGAUGCUUUCAGUUUCUGGAAUUAUUGUUUUGGGCGUUGGGACUUGCCUAACCUUUUUCCCAUACCUCCCUAUUUUUCUAAAUACAGUGUUGAUAUAGUCAGGCAUUUUUCACCAAUUUGGGUUUUUUUUAAAAGAAGUUUUCCUUAGAAAGUACUUCUUUUUCAUAUUAAAAAAAAUUUUUUUUAAGAGAUGGGGUAACCCAAACUGGAGUACAAUGGCACAAUCAUAGUUCACUGCAUCCUUGGACUCCUGGGCUCAAGGGGUCCUUAUGCCUCAGCCUCCAGAGUAGCUGGGUCUACAGAUGCUCAUCACCACCACUGGCUUUGAUUUUUUUGUUCUAUCAUACUUAGCCUAUCAGCUGACAACCUUCAGAUUCAUGCAAAUCCAGGUUCAGAGUAGUAGUAUUAAUGUCUGCUGAUGCUGAUAUUUAAAUAAUUAGAAUUAAAUAGAGCUUUCAAGUUGUAUUUUAUGUAAUUUAACCUGUAAGUUAGAAGUUUUGUUGGCAUUUUAUGGUGCAUCAAGAAAACUUACUGAGAGAAGAUGUACUUAUUUUAGAUCUGAUAAAAUGUUAAACGUG
This is a long non-coding RNA of Pongo pygmaeus (Bornean orangutan), 1866 nucleotides long. RefSeq lists it as uncharacterized. The record is from RefSeq and is a predicted model, not a curated record. NCBI's taxonomy places the organism in Eukaryota, Metazoa, Chordata, Mammalia, Primates, Hominidae. The transcript has 2 exons.